CGGCCUAUCAGCUUGUUGGUGGGGUAACGGCCUACCAAGGCAUCGACGGGUAGCUGGUCUGAGAGGACGAUCAGCCACACUGGGACUGAGACACGGCCCAGACUCCUACGGGAGGCAGCAGUGGGGAAUAUUGCACAAUGGGCGCAAGCCUGAUGCAGCGACGCCGCGUGGGGGAUGACGGCCUUCGGGUUGUAAACCUCUUUCAGCCAUGACGAAGCGUAAGUGACGGUAGUGGCAGAAGAAGCACCGGCCAACUACGUGCCAGCAGCCGCGGUAAUACGUAGGGGGCGAGCGUUGUCCGGAUUUAUUGGGCGUAAAGGGCUCGUAGGCGGCUUGACAAGUCGAUCGUGAAAACUCAGGGCUCAACCCUGAGACGCCGGUCGAUACUGUCAUGGCUAGGGUCCGGUAGAGGAGAAUGGAAUUCCCGGUGUAGCGGUGAAAUGCGCAGAUAUCGGGAGGAACACCAGUAGCGAAGGCGGUUCUCUGGGCCGGUACCGACGCUGAGGAGCGAAAGCGUGAGGAGCAAACAGGAUUAGAUACCCUGGUAGUCCACGCCGUAAACGUUGGGCACUAGGUGUGGCGAACUCAUUGACGUUCGCUGUGCCGGCGCUAACGCAUUAAGUGCCCCGCCUGGGGAGUACGG
This 643-nucleotide ribosomal RNA is filed under the name uncultured bacterium. Its description in RNAcentral is "bacterial SSU rRNA". It matches the Rfam family "Bacterial small subunit ribosomal RNA", at positions 234 to 885 of the family's 1533-position model. The record is from RNAcentral.